Gymnodraco acuticeps is the source of this 780-nucleotide long non-coding RNA. RefSeq lists it as uncharacterized. The transcript has 3 exons. Lineage: Eukaryota; Metazoa; Chordata; Actinopteri; Perciformes; Bathydraconidae. The record is from RefSeq and is a predicted model, not a curated record.
GCGUCUGAUCGGGUAAGACUAAUUACAAAUGUAAUUAUACCAUGUAGGUUUGAAUUUGUAAACAUGAAAUCAAUAAAUACCUUUGUGUGCUAAUGACACUGUCAUUAGAUAAACUGCAUCAUUAUUUAUUGGGUAAAAGUAGGAUGGAGAACCAACCCCAUUCCAGGAAGAGGUCCAGUCUGCCCCGGGUCAGAACACCUUCUAUAGCACAGAAUACCUGACUGCGCCAGACAUUGUUGCAGAACUCUCUGCAAAAAUUAAAAAUACCUCUUGCAGCAGGUUCAAUAUUAAUAGAGCCAAUGUGUGGAAUGGAGCAAUCCGCGGCUUCAAAGGGGCCUCAUUCGACCCCUCUCAUCAGAUGCAGGUUAAUUUUACUGAUGAUGAGGGACAAACUGAGGAUGGAGUGGACACUGGUGGUCCCAAGCGUGAGUUCCUGACCCUCCUAAUGGAAUGCCUGAGAAUGAGAAGAAUAUUUGAUGGUCCACAGGACAGGAAAUUCCUCAAGUUCGACAAUGCAGCUGCAAAAGAUGACGAAUACUUUCAUGCUGGGAGGAUGAUUGCAACUUCUAUAGUUCAAAAACACAAGGAGAAAAAGAAGAAAACAUCAUGUCAUGGCUCACUGUCUCAAAAUCUGAUUCUAAAUGUAUAAUGUUCUUUAUAAAGAUAUAACUAAUACACAAUUAUGAAUGUAUAAUAUAAGCUGUUUUGUGUAUUUAAUCAUGCGUUGGUCUACAAUUUAAUGAUGGCUUCUACAUAUUUCACAUAAACAGACAAUGAAAA